This 83-nucleotide transfer RNA is filed under the name Clostridium butyricum. RNAcentral describes it as "tRNA-Tyr". It matches the Rfam family "tRNA". From Rfam's summary of the family: Transfer RNA (tRNA) molecules are approximately 80 nucleotides in length. Their secondary structure includes four short double-helical elements and three loops (D, anti-codon, and T loops). The record is from RNAcentral. Lineage: Bacteria; Bacillati; Bacillota; Clostridia; Eubacteriales; Clostridiaceae.
GGAGGAAUUCCCGAGUGGCCAAAGGGGCAGACUGUAAAUCUGUUGCGUUAGCUUCGAUGGUUCAAAUCCAUCUUCCUCCACCA